RNAcentral lists this ribosomal RNA (254 nucleotides) under uncultured bacterium. RNAcentral's name for it is "partial 16S ribosomal RNA". It matches the Rfam family "Bacterial small subunit ribosomal RNA", at positions 524 to 776 of the family's 1533-position model. The record is from RNAcentral.
CACGUAGGCACCAAGCGUUGUCCGGAUUUAUUGGGCGUAAAGAGCUCGUAGGCGGUUCGGUAAGUCGGGUGUGAAAACUCUGGGCUCAACCCAGAGCCGCCACCCGAUACUGCUGUGACUCGAGUGCGGUAGGGGAGCGGGGAAUUCCUGGUGUAGCGGUGGAAUGCGCAGAUAUCAGGAGGAACACCGAUGGCGAAGGCAGGUCUCUGGGCCACUACUGACGCUGAGAAGCGAAAGCAUGGGGAGCGAACAGG